GAUGAACGCUGGCGGCGUGCCUAAUACAUGCAAGUCGAGCGAACAGACGAGGAGCUUGCUCCUCUGACGUUAGCGGCGGACGGGUGAGUAACACGUGGAUAACCUACCUAUAAGACUGGGAUAACUUCGGGAAACCGGAGCUAAUACCGGAUAAUAUAUUGAACCGCAUGGUUCAAUAGUGAAAGACGGUUUUGCUGUCACUUAUAGAUGGAUCCGCGCCGCAUUAGCUAGUUGGUAAGGUAACGGCUUACCAAGGCAACGAUGCGUAGCCGACCUGAGAGGGUGAUCGGCCACACUGGAACUGAGACACGGUCCAGACUCCUACGGGAGGCAGCAGUAGGGAAUCUUACGCAAUGGGCGAAAGCUUGACGGAGCAACGCCGCGUGAGUGAUGAAGGUCUUCGGAUCGUAAAACUCUGUUAUUAGGGAAGAACAAAUGUGUAAGUAACUAUGCGCGUCUUGACGGUACCUAAUCAGAAAGCCACGGCUAACUACGUG
RNAcentral lists this ribosomal RNA (497 nucleotides) under uncultured bacterium. RNAcentral describes it as "partial 16S ribosomal RNA". It matches the Rfam family "Bacterial small subunit ribosomal RNA", at positions 28 to 507 of the family's 1533-position model. The record is from RNAcentral.